RNA transcript from Homo sapiens (human), 2542 nucleotides. It is a transcript of the gene named tetratricopeptide repeat domain 3 pseudogene 1, with no coding region annotated. Lineage: Eukaryota; Metazoa; Chordata; Mammalia; Primates; Hominidae. The transcript has a single exon. The record is from RefSeq and is marked validated.
CCAAACCAGGCUCUGAGGAUGCAAAUUACAAGCGAGUCUCCUCUAAUUCUCCCAAACCGGUUCUUGAGGAUGUGAAACCAACUUAUUGGGCUCAAUCCCAUUUGGUCACAGGAUACUGUACGUAUCUUCCUUUCCAGAGAUUUGAUAACACCCGGACAUCGCCAGCAUACAUAAAUGUGUUACCAGGUUUGCCCCAGUACACCAGCAUAUAUACACCCUUGGUCAGCCUUUCUCCUGAAUAUCAGCUACCAAGAUCAGUACCAGUGGUGCCGUCUUUUGUAGCCAAUGACAGAGCAGAUAAAAAUGCUACUGCCUAUUUUGAGGGUCAUCAUUUGAAUGCUGAGAAUGCUGCUGGUCACCAGAUUGCCUCCGAAACACAGAUCCUUGAGGAUUCUUCGUUAAUAUCUGUAAAGUCACAGUGCAGCACAGGUGAUGCUCAUACAGUCCUGAGUGAGUCUAACAGAAAAGAUGGGCACUGUGGAAAUUCUAACAACAAAUGUGAAGUAAUUCCAGAAAGCACCAGUGCAGUAACAAACAUUCCACAGGUGCAGAUGGUUGCCAUACAGGUAUCUUGGAACAUAACACACCAAGAAGUCAAUACUGAGCCAUAUAAUCCUUUUGAGAAACAACAAGGGGAAAUUUCACGGAUUGAAAAGGAGUACCAAGUAUUACAAGACCAACUUAAAGAAGCGUAUGAAAAUUAUGAGCAGAUAAAACUUAAGGGCUUAGAAGAGACCAGGGACCUGGAAGAAAAGUUGAAAAGGCACUUAGAAGAAAACAAGAUAUCAAAGACAGAAUUAGAUUGGUUGCUUCAAGAUUUGGAAAGAGAAAUUAAAAAAUGGCAAGAGGAAAAAAAAGAAAUCCAAAAAACACUAAAAUCACUGAAGAAGAAAAUUAAAAAGGUUUCAAAUGCCAAUGAAAUGUAUACCCAGAAAAAUGAUGGAAACGAUAAGGAACAUGAAUUACAUCUGGAUCAGUCCCUUGAAAUCAGCAACACACUUACAAACGAGAAAAUGAAAAUAGAAGAGUGUAUAAAGAAAGGGAAAAAGGAUUAUGAAGAGAGUCAUCAGAGAGCUGUGGCUGCAGAGGUAUCCGUACUUGAAAACUGGAAGGAGAGUGAAGUGUAUAAGCUACAGAUCAUGCAGUCACAAGCAGAAGCCUAUCUGAAGAAGCUGGAGCUGAUUAGCCAUGAUCCUGCAGCAUAUCCUGACAUGGAGUCCGAUAUAUGUUCAUGGGAAUUGUUUCUUUCUAAUGUUACAAAAGAAACUGAGAAAGCAAAGUAUCAGUUUGAAGAACAAAUUAAGGCAAUUAAAAAUGGUUCUCGGCUCAGUGAACUUUCUAAAGUGCAGAUUUCUGAGCUUUCAUUUCCUGCCUGUAACACGGUUCAUCCUGAGUUACUCCCUGAGUCUUCAGGCCAUGAUGACCAAGGGUUUAUGACUUCCGCAAGCGAUGUGACUGGAAACCAAGCAGCACUUCACAGGGAUCCCAGUGUGUUCUCUGCCGGCGAUUCCCCAGGGGAGGCUCCUUCUGCACUGUUGCCAGGGCCACCCCCCUCUCAGCCUGAAGCCACUCAGCUGCCAGGGCCAAAAGGGGCUGGCCAGGCAGCUCUGUCAGAGCAAAGCCCUGCGGCUGAUCAGAAGCAGCCUGUUCCUCCAGGGUGUGCUGCAUGUUCAAGCCAGUCUCCAAAAAAGCCAUUCAAUAGUAUUAUUGAGCACCUGUCAGUGGUAUUCCCAUGUUACAACAGCACUGAGCUUGCUGGUUUUAUUAAAAAAGUGAGAAGCAAAAACAAGAACUCACUUUCAGGAUUGAGUAUUGAUGAAAUUGUCCAAAGAGUGACAGAACACAUUCUAGAUGAACAGAAAAAGAAAAAGCCAAACCCAGGAAAGGACAAGAGGACUUAUGAGCCCAGCUCUGCCGCCCACGUGACCAGGUCCUCCCAGGGCCCACCCUUGGCGGUUGUUGCACCAUCACCCAAAACCAAGGGGCAGAAAGCAGAAGAUGUCCCUGUGAGGGUUGCACUGGGUGCAAGUUCCUGUGAAAUAUGUCACGAGGUGUUCAAAUCAAAAAACGUGCGUGUGCUCAAAUGUGGGCACAAGUAUCACAAAGGGUGUUUUAAGCAGUGGCUUAAAGGGCAGAGCGCUUGCCCAGCCUGCCAGACUUGUGAUCUCCUGUCAGAAGAGUAGCCUGCACCUUCUGGAAGAGGCUGGCCCAGUGAGAAUCGGGAGCCGCCUUCCUGCUCCUCUAGGUAGUCACACUUCACUAAAGCGUCAUCCGCCAGCGUGUUGAAUCGGAAGAAUGACAAUUUCCUACCAUUGGUGUAAAAAGCAAACAUCUGAAGACCCUUGUGCAUUGUGUGUUACAAAGCUAAAUCCAUGGAAAUCGUUAAUAUCAUUGAUAUUAAGUAAUUUCCCCACUCUGAGUGAAUACUUUGAUGAUGGCCAAGCAGUGGCUAACAAAAUGAUGGCUACCACACUCAUGGGUCGCUUGGGCUGUGCAGGGCUCUUUGAGGUGGGUAGUUUCUUUUGGAAAGUACUGUGAGCGC